This 678-nucleotide long non-coding RNA is filed under the name Hordeum vulgare. Its description in RNAcentral is "long non-coding RNA (HVUL_LNC010531)". The record is from RNAcentral. Lineage: Eukaryota; Viridiplantae; Streptophyta; Magnoliopsida; Poales; Poaceae.
AUGUGAAUCCAGUAUCCUUUAUUGAUGAUGUAAAUUUCUUUUUUUAGCAGAAUACAAUCAAAGUCGCUCACAUACACGAGCGUACACUCACCUCUAUGAACGCACGCACGCACACCCUAUCUCUGACGCCUUCGUUGUCGAUGGAACGUCUCCUCCCACUGAAAGCACAUCGCCGGAAGACCUGGAAUAAAUCAAAAAAAAAAUGCAAGCACCAACGUCAAGUCUGGGACUUGAAUUCUGGUGGGCAGGGGAUACCACAGUUCACCUAACCAUCCAACCACGAAUUGGUUUGCGAUGAUGUAAACUUCUAUUUAUACAGUGUCUAAAGAGAUGAGCGAAUAGGCAUCUAUUCAAAAGACACACAAGUGAACCGACAUGUCCAUUGCCUAAAGGCAACUGCCGGUGGUUCCACACAAGCACGGAUUAACUGCAUAAUUAACACGUGCUAAUUAAUUCUAACACUCCUCCUAAUCAAUGCUUGUCUAUGUAGUAAUAUCAUCUUGAAAGGUAGCUCCUCCAAAAACUCUGUGGAAAAAAUAUGAAGAGAUAUGUUGCUAAAACUCCUUCAAACCCACUGGAAAAUAUAAGAAGAAAAUUGAUGUAACAUAUAAUGGUUAUUGCCUCUUUUAAAUCAAUAUGAGGAAACUCAUAGAAUUAAGAUGACAAUGAAUAUGUCGU